RNAcentral lists this ribosomal RNA (2858 nucleotides) under Salmonella enterica subsp. enterica serovar Derby. RNAcentral's name for it is "bacterial LSU rRNA". It matches the Rfam family "Bacterial large subunit ribosomal RNA". Lineage: Bacteria; Pseudomonadati; Pseudomonadota; Gammaproteobacteria; Enterobacterales; Enterobacteriaceae. The record is from RNAcentral.
AGCGUACACGGUGGAUGCCCUGGCAGUCAGAGGCGAUGAAGGGCGUGCUAAUCUGCGAUAAGCGCCGGUAAGGUGAUAUGAACCGUUAUAACCGGCGAUACCCGAAUGGGGAAACCCAGUGUGAUUCGUCACACUAUCAUUAACUGAAUCCAUAGGUUAAUGAGGCGAACCGGGGGAACUGAAACAUCUAAGUACCCCGAGGAAAAGAAAUCAACCGAGAUUCCCCCAGUAGCGGCGAGCGAACGGGGAGGAGCCCAGAGCCUGAAUCAGCAUGUGUGUUAGUGGAAGCGUCUGGAAAGGCGCGCGAUACAGGGUGACAGCCCCGUACACAAAAGCGCAUGUGCUGUGAGCUCGAUGAGUAGGGCGGGACACGUGGUAUCCUGUCUGAAUAUGGGGGGACCAUCCUCCAAGGCUAAAUACUCCUGACUGACCGAUAGUGAACCAGUACCGUGAGGGAAAGGCGAAAAGAACCCCGGCGAGGGGAGUGAAAAAGAACCUGAAACCGUGUACGUACAAGCAGUGGGAGCACAGGUUUACCUGUGUGACUGCGUACCUUUUGUAUAAUGGGUCAGCGACUUAUAUUCUGUAGCAAGGUUAACCGUAUAGGGGAGCCGCAGGGAAACCGAGUCUUAACCGGGCGUUAAGUUGCAGGGUAUAGACCCGAAACCCGGUGAUCUAGCCAUGGGCAGGUUGAAGGUUGGGUAACACUAACUGGAGGACCGAACCGACUAAUGUUGAAAAAUUAGCGGAUGACCUGUGGCUGGGGGUGAAAGGCCAAUCAAACCGGGAGAUAGCUGGUUCUCCCCGAAAGCUAUUUAGGUAGCGCCUCGUGAAUUCAUCUCCGGGGGUAGAGCACUGUUUCGGCUAGGGGGCCAUCCCGGCUUACCAACCCGAUGCAAACUGCGAAUACCGGAGAAUGUUAUCACGGGAGACACACGGCGGGUGCUAACGUCCGUCGUGAAGAGGGAAACAACCCAGACCGCCAGCUAAGGUCCCAAAGUCAUGGUUAAGUGGGAAACGAUGUGGGAAGGCCCAGACAGCCAGGAUGUUGGCUUAGAAGCAGCCAUCAUUUAAAGAAAGCGUAAUAGCUCACUGGUCGAGUCGGCCUGCGCGGAAGAUGUAACGGGGCUAAACCAUGCACCGAAGCUGCGGCAGCGAACGUAUCACUUAAAGCGAUUCAGCGGGUUACGAUUGACGGAGCGAAGCGACGUCAAAGCGUAUACAAAGUCGAGUCGGUUUAAGGAUACGUUCGUUGGGUAGGGGAGCGUUCUGUAAGCCUGUGAAGGUGGCCUGUGAGGGUUGCUGGAGGUAUCAGAAGUGCGAAUGCUGACAUAAGUAACGAUAAAGCGGGUGAAAAGCCCGCUCGCCGGAAGACCAAGGGUUCCUGUCCAACGUUAAUCGGGGCAGGGUGAGUCGACCCCUAAGGCGAGGCCGAAAGGCGUAGUCGAUGGGAAACGGGUUAAUAUUCCCGUACUUGGUGUUACUGCGAAGGGGGGACGGAGAAGGCUAUGUUGGCCGGGCGACGGUUGUCCCGGUUUAAGCGUGUAGGUGUGUGUUCCAGGUAAAUCCGGUUCACUUUAACACUGAGGCGUGAUGACGAGGCACUACGGUGCUGAAGCAACAAAUGCCCUGCUUCCAGGAAAAGCCUCUAAGCAUCAGGUAACAUCAAAUCGUACCCCAAACCGACACAGGUGGUCAGGUAGAGAAUACCAAGGCGCUUGAGAGAACUCGGGUGAAGGAACUAGGCAAAAUGGUGCCGUAACUUCGGGAGAAGGCACGCUGACAUGUAGGUGAAGUGAUUUACUCAUGGAGCUGAAGUCAGUCGAAGAUACCAGCUGGCUGCAACUGUUUAUUAAAAACACAGCACUGUGCAAACACGAAAGUGGACGUAUACGGUGUGACGCCUGCCCGGUGCCGGAAGGUUAAUUGAUGGGGUCAGCGCAAGCGAAGCUCCUGAUCGAAGCCCCGGUAAACGGCGGCCGUAACUAUAACGGUCCUAAGGUAGCGAAAUUCCUUGUCGGGUAAGUUCCGACCUGCACGAAUGGCGUAAUGAUGGCCAGGCUGUCUCCACCCGAGACUCAGUGAAAUUGAACUCGCUGUGAAGAUGCAGUGUACCCGCGGCAAGACGGAAAGACCCCGUGAACCUUUACUAUAGCUUGACACUGAACAUUGAGCCUUGAUGUGUAGGAUAGGUGGGAGGCUUUGAAGCGUGGACGCCAGUCUGCGUGGAGCCGGCCUUGAAAUACCACCCUUUAAUGUUUGAUGUUCUAACGUGGACCCGUGAUCCGGGUUGCGGACAGUGUCUGGUGGGUAGUUUGACUGGGGCGGUCUCCUCCUAAAGAGUAACGGAGGAGCACGAAGGUUGGCUAAUCCUGGUCGGACAUCAGGAGGUUAGUGCAAUGGCAUAAGCCAGCUUGACUGCGAGCGUGACGGCGCGAGCAGGUGCGAAAGCAGGUCAUAGUGAUCCGGUGGUUCUGAAUGGAAGGGCCAUCGCUCAACGGAUAAAAGGUACUCCGGGGAUAACAGGCUGAUACCGCCCAAGAGUUCAUAUCGACGGCGGUGUUUGGCACCUCGAUGUCGGCUCAUCACAUCCUGGGGCUGAAGUAGGUCCCAAGGGUAUGGCUGUUCGCCAUUUAAAGUGGUACGCGAGCUGGGUUUAGAACGUCGUGAGACAGUUCGGUCCCUAUCUGCCGUGGGCGCUGGAGAACUGAGGGGGGCUGCUCCUAGUACGAGAGGACCGGAGUGGACGCAUCACUGGUGUUCGGGUUGUCAUGCCAAUGGCACUGCCCGGUAGCUAAAUGCGGAAGAGAUAAGUGCUGAAAGCAUCUAAGCACGAAACUUGCCCCGAGAUGAGUUCU